CUUCUGGAUUCAAGAUGGCCGCUAGACCGGAGAGUCCUCCUGCGCAGGCAAGACCUACUCGUUUAGAGUCAUGUUAUCUUCGAGUAUCUAGAGAGACAUUUUAACCCACACCCUAGAGAGGCGUUGUAAUCCUUGCGUAUCUUUUAACGCUACUUGGCCCUCACCUGCGAAUCUACUGUUCUUUAAUAAUCCUCAUUUUCUGUGCCUCGGAAGUGCCUUCCUCUCUUCGCGUCUGUUUUCCGGAAGUGGUUCUUCUCCCUCUCCACCCUUGCGCCCGCUUGGGCGGUCCAGCUGCCCCUAGGGCCGACUCCAGGGGCUAUUUGGCGGCUGAACAUCCCGCAGUUUUUCAAGGCGUGCCUUUGGUUUUUUUAAGAAGUGCUAUCUAAAGGAAAGGCUGGACUAUGGCUCUGGAACUUUCAUAUCCUCAGUUGACCUUAGGCUGUGUGACCUUGAGCAGGUAGCAUAACCUGAGUUUCCCGCGUGACCUAUGUGCAGAUUGAGAUGAUAAAAUGAGAGAGCUAAACCGGAAAGCUCUUCCCACAUAGCAGGCCGUGAGCAGGUGGCCGUUUUGUCCUCUGCCACCACUGGCUCAGACUAAAGCAGUUUCACUGACCGCCAAGAUUGCAUGCCAUGCCCACCAAGAUUUAAAGGACUCUGAUAAUUCUUUCUCUCCCCAGUGCUUUCCCUAUCUAAUCUUAAUAAGCAAGCCUGGAGGAAUCUCUGACUUGUGAGUGAAGGCUCUCCAGGUGCCCUGGUUUAAGGGCAGAGAUUUAUUUUCUCUGAGGCUACAAAGGAGCAUCUGGGAGAUGCGAGAAUUCUUCUACCUUAGGCAAAACAGGGAGGAGGGUUGGAGCUCUCCAAGUUGCCUCUGGCUUGAGCUUUUUCUUUCUCUUUUGGUGUGUCCUCUCUGGCCAACAACACCUGUGAGUCCUUGAUUUGGCGAUUAGGGAAGAUGUUUUUAGUUCACAUAACUAUUCUUUAGAAAAAAAUCCUGAAAACACCUUAUUGCCUGAUCAUAGAAUGACUGCAUUACUCAGAAUUCUUUACCUCCUCUGGAAUUUAGUGAAGGGAAGGCCCAACGUACAUUAGGAAAAUACAGGCACACUCCAGUCCUUAAACCUUCCACAAUCCUCUAACUCUUUGAGGUCGAGUGUGAUCCUCCCCAGAACUACAUCUUCCAGGAAGUUCAUGAGAAAGGAAGGAUCCCAGGUCCCAUCCCUGAUCUCCUGAAUCGGCAUCUGCAUUUUAACAGAAUCCUGAAGCAGUGGUCUAACUCCUUUGGUUGUGGUAUGGUUUGAAUGUAUACCUCCAAAAUUCACAUAUUGAAAUACUAACCCCCAAGGUGAUAGUAUUAGGAGGUGGGGCCUUUGGGAGUUAAGUCAUGAGGGUGUAGCCCUCAUGAAUGGGAUUAGUACUCUUAGAAAAGGGACCCCAGAGAGGUCUCUUUCCACCAUGUAAGGAUAAAAGUACAAGGAGAAGAUGGUAGUCUGCAAACUGGAAAAGGGCCCUCCUCAGAACCUGACCAUCUUGGCACCUUGAUCUCAGACUUCCAUCUUCCAGAACUGUGGGAAAUAAAUUUCUUUUAUAAACACUCAGUCAAUGCUACUUUAUUAUAGCAGCCUGAAUGGAUUAAGACAGGUGGUCUGGUUUAAAGUGAUGUGUUGGCAUCAGAAGUUUAAGGAGAGACUGGAUUCACAGAACCAGAAUCUGGGAUGCUGUUUACAGAGCAAGUAUUUCCUGCAUUUGGACACUGUCGGCAGGUCGAUUCAGAAGACAGACGAAAACUUUAUCACCGGGCAGCCUGGAUGAACACCACAACUUUGAGAUCUUUCACUUAAAGGGAAGAUAAGGGCAUCCACUAUUUCUACACCUGGCUGGCGGAGUGAGAACUCACCAAGGCACUUACAAAUUCAUAGACUAUUACUACUGAAGACAAGUUAAGAGAUUGUGUCCUCCAAACUCAUCAUUUUUCAGCAUUAUUAUUUUAGAAGAGAGGUCUAGAUCAACCGCUUUAAAAUGACACCAACAGAAGGGCAGUGAAGAAGGCAUUCUCGGAGGCUGCACAUUUCUGGAAGACAGCAUGACAGUAUGCCUCAAGUGCAAACAGUUUAUCCAUCUAUACAUAAUGAAACUAAAGAAGAUAAAGCUGUUUGUUCCUUGGGACAGUCUAAGAAUAAAUAAAAGACAAAAAAUUUUUCAAAAGGAAGAAAAAGGUAGGUCAUGAUUUUUGUUUUUGGAAUAAAAUUUAUAAUUUUGUUACAAUAAAAAGUUGGACUUCCAUUUCCCCUCAAAAUAUAAUGUUUUAAACAUGUCUUCUGCAGUUAAAUACUGAAAUACCAGUAUUCUCAGUUGACUCUGUUAUUGCAAUCACUAAAUGUCACCAUUGGCAUGUGGGCCUGUGGAAUGGUGAUGUGAAUAACAUGACACUUCCUUUCCGUCAUUUCCCUACAAUACAGUAUUGUUAAGCAGACUUUAGUGGAAGUUGAAGAAUAUCUAGAGCUAGUUUUAGUGACCAAAAAAUAAACCUUCUCCACAACCGAAUAUCAAAUAUUACUGUCCAGGGGAAAUGAAAAAAAAAAAAUUCACAUGGCAUCAGCUCUUAAUAUAUUCCAGUUCUAGCCAUGUGCAGUGAUCCUGAAGACAUUUUUUCUUUGAAUUGUGGGGAGAGAGAGACAAAAGGUAGAGUUAAUGUAAAAACAAAAGCGGGAAACCAGUGAGAAAAAGAGAAAGAGACAGAAUAACAGUUCUCAGCCCUCUACCAACCCAAUCAUCAACUCAAAGUCAAGAGAACAUUACCUCCAACUUGCCAAACUUGCUUCCACCUCCAAAUUGAACAUUAUUUCUCUAGGAGUGAAAUUCAUAUAAUAAAAGGUUUUGAAACUUUGCCUUUUCUAAAAUCUGAGUUAUGAUCAUUCAGGUAUUAGCAGAAGGGGCUUGGUAACCCAACUCUUGAGAACAGUUCAG
Molecule: long non-coding RNA, 2964 nt
Organism: Chlorocebus sabaeus (green monkey)
Lineage: Eukaryota; Metazoa; Chordata; Mammalia; Primates; Cercopithecidae
Source: RefSeq, a predicted model, not a curated record